This 649-nucleotide ribosomal RNA is filed under the name uncultured bacterium. Its description in RNAcentral is "bacterial SSU rRNA". It matches the Rfam family "Bacterial small subunit ribosomal RNA", at positions 62 to 706 of the family's 1533-position model. The record is from RNAcentral.
UCGAGGGGCAUCGCGGGUAGCAAUACCUGGCGGCGACCGGCGCACGUGUGAGUAACACGUAUGCAACCUACCUCAAACCGGGGAAUAACCCGAAGAAAUUCGGACUAAUACCCCAUAGCGCCCAGGAGCGGCAUCGCUUCUGAGCUAAAGAUUUAUCAGUUUGAGCUGGGCAUGCGUCCUAUUAGCUAGUUGGCGGGGUAACGGCCCACCAAGGCGACGAUAGGUAGGGGUUCUGAGAGGAAGGUCCCCCACACUGGUACUGAGACACGGACCAGACUCCUACGGGAGGCAGCAGUGAGGAAUAUUGGUCAAUGGGCGCAAGCCUGAACCAGCCAUGCCGCGUGCAGGAUGACAGCCCUAUGGGUUGUAAACUGCUUUUAUACGGGAGCAAACCCACCCCUGCGGAGGUGGUUGAGAGUACCGUAGGAAUAAGGAUCGGCUAACUCCGUGCCAGCAGCCGCGGUAAUACGGAGGAUCCGAGCGUUAUCCGGAUUUAUUGGGUUUAAAGGGUGCGCAGGCGGCCCGGUAAGUCAGCGGUGAAAAGGUGCAGCUCAACUGUACCCGUGCCGUUGAUACUGUCGGGCUUGAAUGUGGGUGAAGCUGGCGGAAUGUGCAGUGUAGCGGUGAAAUGCAUAGAUAUUGCACAGAA